Molecule: ribosomal RNA, 254 nt
Filed under: uncultured bacterium
Lineage: Bacteria
Description: partial 16S ribosomal RNA
Rfam family: Bacterial small subunit ribosomal RNA
Source: RNAcentral
CACGUAGGGGGCAAGCGUUGUCCGGAUUUAUUGGGCGUAAAGAGCUCGUAGGUGGUUCGGUAAGUCGGGUGUUAAACCCCCAGGCUCAACCUGGGGACGCCACUCGAUACUGCUGUGACUAGAGUCCGGUAGGGGAGCGUGGAAUUCCUGGUGUAGCGGUGAAAUGCGCGGAUAUCAGGAGGAACACCAGCGGCGAAGGCGGCGCUCUGGGCCGGUACUGACACUGAGGAGCGAAAGCGUGGGUAGCAAACAGG